CACGUAGGGGGCGAGCGUUGUCCGGAUUUAUUGGGCGUAAAGAGCUCGUAGGCGGCUCGGUAAGUCGGGUGUGAAAACUCGGGGCUCAACCCCGAGACGCCACUCGAUACUGCUGUGGCUAGAGUCCGGUAGGGGAGCGUGGAAUUCCUGGUGUAGCGGUGAAAUGCGCAGAUAUCAGGAGGAACACCGGUGGCGAAGGCGGGUCUCUGGGCCGAUAUUGACGCUGAGGAGCGAAAGCGUGGGGAGCGAACAGG
RNAcentral lists this ribosomal RNA (254 nucleotides) under uncultured bacterium. RNAcentral's name for it is "partial 16S ribosomal RNA". It matches the Rfam family "Bacterial small subunit ribosomal RNA", at positions 524 to 776 of the family's 1533-position model. The record is from RNAcentral.